UAAGGAAUAUUGGUCAAUGGACGCAAGUCUGAACCAGCCAUGCCGCGUGGAGGAUGAAGGUCCUCUGGAUUGUAAACUUCUUUUAUCUGGGACGAAACACUUCUUUCCUAAGAGGCCUGACGGUACCAGAUGAAUAAGCACCGGCUAACUCCGUGCCAGCAGCCGCGGUAAUACGGAGGGUGCAAGCGUUAUCCGGAUUCACUGGGUUUAAAGGGUGCGUAGGUGUGUAUGUAAGUCAGUGGUGAAAUCCCCGAGCUUAACUUGGGAGCUGCCAUUGAUACUAUAUAUCUUGAAUACCGUAGAGGUAAGCGGAAUAUGUCAUGUAGCGGUGAAAUGCUUAGAUAUGACAUGGAACACCAAUUGCGAAGGCAGCUUACUAUGCGGUGAUUGACACUGAGGCACGAAAGCGUGGGUAGCAAACA
RNAcentral lists this ribosomal RNA (422 nucleotides) under uncultured bacterium. Its description in RNAcentral is "bacterial SSU rRNA". It matches the Rfam family "Bacterial small subunit ribosomal RNA", at positions 355 to 774 of the family's 1533-position model. The record is from RNAcentral.